This 494-nucleotide ribosomal RNA is filed under the name uncultured bacterium. RNAcentral describes it as "partial 16S ribosomal RNA". It matches the Rfam family "Bacterial small subunit ribosomal RNA", at positions 28 to 507 of the family's 1533-position model. The record is from RNAcentral.
GACGAGCGCUGGCGGCGUGCCUAAUACAUGCAAGUCGAGCGGACUUAAAAAGCUUGCUUUUUAAGUUAGCGGCGGACGGGUGAGUAACACGUGGGCAACCUGCCUGUAAGACUGGGAUAACUUCGGGAAACCGGAGCUAAUACCGGAUAAUCCUUUUCUACUCAUGUAGAAAAGCUGAAAGACGGUUUACGCUGUCACUUACAGAUGGGCCCGCGGCGCAUUAGCUAGUUGGUGAGGUAACGGCUCACCAAGGCGACGAUGCGUAGCCGACCUGAGAGGGUGAUCGGCCACACUGGGACUGAGACACGGCCCAGACUCCUACGGGAGGCAGCAGUAGGGAAUCUUCCGCAAUGGACGAAAGUCUGACGGAGCAACGCCGCGUGAGUGAUGAAGGUUUUCGGAUCGUAAAACUCUGUUGUUAGGGAAGAACAAGUACGAGAGUAACUGCUCGUACCUUGACGGUACCUAACCAGAAAGCCACGGCUAACUACGUG